ACUCCUACGGGAGGCAGCAGUGGGGAAUAUUGCACAAUGGGCGCAAGCCUGAUGCAGCGACGCCGCGUGAAGGAUGAAGGUUUUCGGAUCGUAAACUUCUAUCAGCAGGGAGGAACCAAAUGACGGUACCUGACUAAGAAGCCCCGGCUAACUACGUGCCAGCAGCCGCGGUAAU
This 175-nucleotide ribosomal RNA is filed under the name uncultured bacterium. RNAcentral describes it as "partial 16S ribosomal RNA". It matches the Rfam family "Bacterial small subunit ribosomal RNA", at positions 335 to 524 of the family's 1533-position model. The record is from RNAcentral.